This 88-nucleotide transfer RNA is filed under the name Rhizobiaceae bacterium. RNAcentral describes it as "tRNA-Leu". It matches the Rfam family "tRNA". Rfam says of the family: Transfer RNA (tRNA) molecules are approximately 80 nucleotides in length. Lineage: Bacteria; Pseudomonadati; Pseudomonadota; Alphaproteobacteria; Hyphomicrobiales; Rhizobiaceae. The record is from RNAcentral.
GCGGGCGUGGCGAAACUGGUAGACGCAAGGGACUUAAAAUCCCUCGCCUUAUAAAGGCUUACGGGUUCGAUCCCCGUCGCCCGCACCA